Molecule: ribosomal RNA, 465 nt
Filed under: uncultured bacterium
Lineage: Bacteria
Description: partial 16S ribosomal RNA
Rfam family: Bacterial small subunit ribosomal RNA
Source: RNAcentral
CCUACGGGAGGCAGCAGUGGGGAAUAUUGCGCAAUGGGCGAAAGCCUGACGCAGCGACGCCGCGUGAGGGAUGAAGGUCUUCGGAUCGUAAACCUCUGUCAGCAGGGAAGAACGGUCACUGUGCUAAUCAGCAGUGAAUUGACGGUACCUGCAAAGGAAGCACCGGCUAACUCCGUGCCAGCAGCCGCGGUAAUACGGAGGGUGCGAGAGUUAAUCGGAAUUACUGGGCGUAAAGCGCUCGUAGGCGGUAUGUCAAGUCAAGGGUGAAAUCCCCGCGCGCAACGUGGGAACUGCCUUUGAAACUGGCAGACUGGAGUGUGUGAGAGGAUAGUGGAAUUCCAGGUGUAGGAGUGAAAUCCGUAGAUAUCUGGCGGAACAUCAGUGGCGAAGGCGACUAUCUGGCACAUAACUGACGCUGAGGAGCGAAAGCGUGGGUAGCAAACAGGAUUAGAUACCCCUGUAGUC